Molecule: ribosomal RNA, 382 nt
Filed under: uncultured eukaryote
Lineage: Eukaryota
Description: partial 18S ribosomal RNA
Rfam family: Eukaryotic small subunit ribosomal RNA
Source: RNAcentral
UGUAAGCGUAUACCAAAGUUGUUGCAGUUAAAACGCUCGUAGUCGGAGUUUGGCAGUUCCGGAUGUGUGCACGUCGUGUGCGCACUUCGCGGGGAUUGCUUUUGUGGUCUUGCGUAGGAUGAGGCACUUUUAUUAGUGAACGUCCUCACGCAACCACUUUUUACUGUGAGAAAAUCAGAGUGCUCAAAGCAGGCAUUUGCCGUGAAUGUAUUAGCAUGGAAUAAUAGAAUAGGACUUGGUUCUAUUUUGUUGGUUUGUUGGGACUGAGUAAUGAUUAAGAGGGACAGUUGGGGGCAUUUGUAUUUCGGCGCUAGAGGUGAAAUUCUUAGAUUGCCGAAAGACAAACUGCUGCGAAAGCGUCUGCCAAGGAUGUUUUCAUUAA